GUUCCUUUUUUCUGUUCUACUAUAUACAUGAGAAAUGCUUAUUUGGUGUUUCAAAAUUUGAAAAAAUUAAAAACCCACAAAAUUGCUCUAACAUGAAUGUCUCCUCCUACCCUUUUCCACAGGAAAUGCACAGAGGGAAGGAUGAGGAACUAUGCCUUGACUUGAGGAAGGAAAAGUGCCUGUAGUCCCUUGGCAUUAUUGAGGAAACACACCUCCAGGCUGGCAUCUUCAUCAUCCUGGCUUCAUGUUCCUGUGAAAUUGAUGCUUUGGCCACAAGUUCAUUCAACAAAAGGUACUGACGUCAUCAAAGCCUGGAGCUCCUAAGGGGCACCUGAGGGAGGACCAGUUUAUGCAGAAUAUUGGACAGUAGACAUUGACAGGUGCAGGCCCACCAAUGAAGGAGGUUCUUUAUGAGAGCUGAGGUCACAGAGACCAAUCCUGUAAACAUUAUACAAGUAAGACUCCCAGGGGGAAGCUAGGAUUUCACUGUCUUUGAGCUCAGAAUAGAUUAUGCCUGCCAUUGCUCAGCAUGUGGGAAGACAAUGUUUAUGCUAGUAAAAUGUGCGUCAGAUAACAAUAACAAUAAAAGAACAACC
Monodelphis domestica (gray short-tailed opossum) is the source of this 596-nucleotide long non-coding RNA. RefSeq lists it as uncharacterized. The record is from RefSeq and is a predicted model, not a curated record. Lineage: Eukaryota; Metazoa; Chordata; Mammalia; Didelphimorphia; Didelphidae.